GGGGAAUUUGGANAUGGGCGCNUUCNGAUCCAGCCAUACCGCGUGGGUGACNAAGGCCUUCGGGUUGUAAAGCCCUUUUGUUGGGAAAGAAAUCCAGCUGGCUAAUACCCGGUUGGGAUGACGGUACCCAAAGAAUAAGCACCGGCUAACUUCGUGCCAGCAGCCGCGGUAAUACGAAGGGUGCAAGCGUUACUCGGAAUUACUGGGCGUAAAGCGUGCGUAGGUGGUCGUUUAAGUCCGUUGUGAAAGCCCUGGGCUCAACCUGGGAACUGCAGUGGAUACUGGGCGACUAGAAUGUGGUAGAGGGUAGCGGAAUUCCUGGUGUAGCAGUGAAAUGCGUAGAGAUCAGGAGGAACAUCCAUGGCGAAGGCAGCUACCUGGACCAACAUUGACACUGAGGCACGAAAGCGUGGGGAGCAAACAGGAUUAGAUACCCUGGUAGUCCACGCCCUAAACGAUGCGAACUGGAUGUUGGGUGCAANUUUGGCACGCAAUAUCGAANCUAACGCGUUANUUUCNCCCCCCUGGGGGAGUACGGUCNCAANACUGAAACUCNAAGGGAAUUGACCGGGGCCCCCCCAAGCGGGGGGAAUNUGNGGUUUAAUUCNAUGCCACNCGAAAAAACCUUUACCUGGCCU
This 638-nucleotide ribosomal RNA is filed under the name Stenotrophomonas hibiscicola. RNAcentral describes it as "[Pseudomonas] hibiscicola partial 16S ribosomal RNA". It matches the Rfam family "Bacterial small subunit ribosomal RNA", at positions 357 to 981 of the family's 1533-position model. The record is from RNAcentral. Lineage: Bacteria; Pseudomonadati; Pseudomonadota; Gammaproteobacteria; Lysobacterales; Lysobacteraceae.